This 68-nucleotide transfer RNA is filed under the name Marmota monax (woodchuck). RNAcentral's name for it is "tRNA.Ala". The stretch from base 5 to 65 matches the Rfam family "tRNA", at positions 6 to 65 of the family's 71-position model. From Rfam's summary of the family: Transfer RNA (tRNA) molecules are approximately 80 nucleotides in length. The record is from RNAcentral. Lineage: Eukaryota; Metazoa; Chordata; Mammalia; Rodentia; Sciuridae.
GGAUUGUGGCUCAGCGGUAGAGCGCUCGCCUAGCAUGUGUGAAGCCCUGGGUUCGAUCCUCAGCACCA